AGAACUGAGCUAAGAUUUAAAAUUUUGUGUUCUUUUAUUUUGUGAUAUGGUUCCGUUGUGAAGGGCUCGCUUGCUCUUCACUAUUUGGUCUCUGGUACCCUCCUUCCUGUUUUCUAGGAUUCACUUUCGGAUUCUUUUUGUUUCAGGCUGUCUCGUGAAGCAGGACUCCAGUGUAGAAAAGGGCCUUGAAAUUUGAAUCAUGCUUGGCUUCCAUCUCCCCAAUCCUGGAGCUGCAGGUACAUGGGAACAAAACAAAACCCAGAACGUUCCCCGCCUGAGCUGGAUGUGGUACAUACACAGUGGGAUAUCCUGUAGCCACACAAUGAAUACCAGGAAGAUGGCAGACAGGUUCCAGCGCAGAACAGCCACAAACCUGCUGGACGAAGCUGCUUCUCUCCUCUGUGAAAACUUGGCCUUGCGGAGGGGCUGGGGUGUACGUUCAGAACACCUCUAUGUGGCCUUUGUUGUUUCUUUGGGGAAAGGUUUGUGGUGGGGUU
Long non-coding RNA from Mus pahari (shrew mouse), 497 nucleotides. RefSeq lists it as uncharacterized. The record is from RefSeq and is a predicted model, not a curated record. The transcript is spliced from 3 exons. NCBI's taxonomy places the organism in Eukaryota, Metazoa, Chordata, Mammalia, Rodentia, Muridae.